GUGAUACGGUCUGAUUAGUCAGAUGCUAGACGUCAGGUUCGGGUAAAUCUGUUAAUGGUAUUUCAUUGGUUAUAAAUACUAUUUAAUGGCUGCUUCGUGGCUGUUUCCGGAAUGAUUAUGGGGGAAAUGAAGGUCAUAUUAACGUCUGAUUGGCUAUUAAUGAGUGGUAUGCAUUAUGUGUCAACGCGUCCGUAUGUGCGGUCGGAUAAAAAUCAUGAUAGUAGGUCAUCGGUAUAAAUUGUAAUGAAGUGUUCAUUUGCUAUCGUAAAGAGCUAUAAUGUUUAUUAACGAAGCACUGUCAAUUUAGUGCAAUCAAUUAAAUCAAUACUAUUCUGUGAUAAUAAAAUCAUGUUAUCUUGAAAUUAUGUUGCAAUUUUGGUACGAGGCUGUAUAUUUAUGUAUCAUUGAUCUACUUUAAAAAUAG
Molecule: long non-coding RNA, 424 nt
Filed under: Mytilus galloprovincialis (Mediterranean mussel)
Lineage: Eukaryota; Metazoa; Mollusca; Bivalvia; Mytilida; Mytilidae
Source: RNAcentral